Molecule: ribosomal RNA, 426 nt
Filed under: uncultured Pseudomonadota bacterium
Lineage: Bacteria; Pseudomonadati; Pseudomonadota
Description: bacterial SSU rRNA
Rfam family: Bacterial small subunit ribosomal RNA
Source: RNAcentral
GGGGAAUUUUGGACAAUGGGCGAAAGCCUGAUCCAGCAAUGCCGCGUGCAGGAUGAAGGCCUUCGGGUUGUAAACUGCUUUUGUACGGAACGAAAAAGCUUCUCCUAAUACGAGAGGCCCAUGACGGUACCGUAAGAAUAAGCACCGGCUAACUACGUGCCAGCAGCCGCGGUAAUACGUAGGGUGAGAGCGUUAAUCGGAAUUACUGGGCGUAAAGCGCACGUAGGCUGCUUUGUAAGUCAGGGGUGAAAUCCCACGGCUCAACCGUGGAACUGCCUUUGAUACUGCUUAGCUUGAAUCCGGGAGAGGGUGGCGGAAUUCCAGGUGUAGGAGUGAAAUCCGUAGAUAUCUGGAGGAACAUCAGUGGCGAAGGCGGCCACCUGGACCGGUAUUGACGCUGAGGUGCGAAAGCGUAGGGAGCAAACA